Molecule: ribosomal RNA, 341 nt
Filed under: uncultured bacterium
Lineage: Bacteria
Description: bacterial SSU rRNA
Rfam family: Bacterial small subunit ribosomal RNA
Source: RNAcentral
AGGGUUUGAUCCUGGCUCAGGAUGAACGCUGGCGGCACGCUUAACACAUGCAAGUCGAGCGGAGUUUUAUGCGGAAGAUUUCGGUUGGAAGGAUAAAACUUAGCGGCGGACGGGUGAGGAACGCGUGGGUAACCUGCCCUGUACAGGGGGAUAACACAGAGAAAUCUGUGCUAAAACCGCAUAAGCCCCCAGGACCGCAUGGUCCAGAGGGAAAAACUCCGGUGGUACAGGAUGGGCCCGCGUCUGAUUAGCUAGUUGGAGAGGUAAAGGCUCACCAAGGCGACGAUCAGUAGCCGGUCUGAGAGGAUGGACGGCCACAUUGGGACUGAGACACGGCCCAA